Molecule: ribosomal RNA, 927 nt
Filed under: Escherichia coli
Lineage: Bacteria; Pseudomonadati; Pseudomonadota; Gammaproteobacteria; Enterobacterales; Enterobacteriaceae
Description: bacterial SSU rRNA
Rfam family: Bacterial small subunit ribosomal RNA
Source: RNAcentral
GGACUCACAUGCAAUCGAACGGUAACAGGAAGCAGCUUGCUCUUUGCUGACGAGUGGCGGACGGGUGAGUAAUGUCUGGGAAACUGCCUGAUGGAGGGGGAUAACUACUGGAAACGGUAGCUAAUACCGCAUAACGUCGCAAGACCAAAGAGGGGGACCUUCGGGCCUCUUGCCAUCGGAUGUGCCCAGAUGGGAUUAGCUAGUAGGUGGGGUAACGGCUCACCUAGGCGACGAUCCCUAGCUGGUCUGAGAGGAUGACCAGCCACACUGGAACUGAGACACGGUCCAGACUCCUACGGGAGGCAGCAGUGGGGAAUAUUGCACAAUGGGCGCAAGCCUGAUGCAGCCAUGCCGCGUGUAUGAAGAAGGCCUUCGGGUUGUAAAGUACUUUCAGCGGGGAGGAAGGGAGUAAAGUUAAUACCUUUGCUCAUUGACGUUACCCGCAGAAGAAGCACCGGCUAACUCCGUGCCAGCAGCCGCGGUAAUACGGAGGGUGCAAGCGUUAAUCGGAAUUACUGGGCGUAAAGCGCACGCAGGCGGUUUGUUAAGUCAGAUGUGAAAUCCCCGGGCUCAACCUGGGAACUGCAUCUGAUACUGGCAAGCUUGAGUCUCGUAGAGGGGGGUAGAAUUCCAGGUGUAGCGGUGAAAUGCGUAGAGAUCUGGAGAAUACCGGUGGCGAAGGCGGCCCCCUGGACGAAGACUGACGCUCAGGUGCGAAAGCGUGGGGAGCAGACGGGAUUAGAUACCCUGGUAGUCCACGCCGUAUACGAUGUCGACUUGGAUGUUGUGCCCUUGAGCGUGGCUUCCGAGCUAACGCGUGACGUCGACCGCCUGGGGAGUACAGCCGAAGGUGAGAACCAAAUGAAUUACAGGGACCGCAGAGCGGGACCUGUAAUUCCAAUGCACAACUGUCUGGCUCGAGUAUGA